Molecule: microRNA, 20 nt
Filed under: Ciona intestinalis (vase tunicate)
Lineage: Eukaryota; Metazoa; Chordata; Ascidiacea; Phlebobranchia; Cionidae
Description: cin-miR-4216-3p
Source: miRBase by way of RNAcentral
UAAAUUUGGUAGAAGAGCUU